UACAGAGGUCCCAAGCGUUGUUCGGAUUCACUGGGCGUAAAGGGUGCGUAGGUGGCAAGGCAAGUCGGAUGUGAAAUCUUCAAGCUCAACUUGGAAACUGCAUUGGAAACUGCUUUGCUUGAGGAUUUGAGGGGGGAUUGGAAUACUUGGUGUAGCAGUGAAAUGCGUAGAUAUCAAGUGGAACACCAGUGGCGAAGGCGAAUCCCUGGAAAAUACCUGACACUGAGGCACGAAAGCUAGGGGAGCAAACAGG
RNAcentral lists this ribosomal RNA (253 nucleotides) under uncultured bacterium. RNAcentral's name for it is "partial 16S ribosomal RNA". It matches the Rfam family "Bacterial small subunit ribosomal RNA", at positions 524 to 776 of the family's 1533-position model. The record is from RNAcentral.